This 253-nucleotide ribosomal RNA is filed under the name uncultured bacterium. RNAcentral describes it as "partial 16S ribosomal RNA". It matches the Rfam family "Bacterial small subunit ribosomal RNA", at positions 524 to 776 of the family's 1533-position model. The record is from RNAcentral.
UACGGAGGGUGCAAGCGUUAUCCGGAUUCACUGGGUUUAAAGGGUGCGUAGGAGGGCAGGUAAGUCAGUGGUGAAAUCUCCGAGCUUAACUUGGAAACUGCCGUUGAUACUAUCUGUCUUGAAUAUUGUGGAGGUGAGCGGAAUAUGUCAUGUAGCGGUGAAAUGCAUAGAUAUGACCCGGAACACCUAUUGCGAAGGCAGCAGGCUAAACAAAUAUUGACGCUGAGGCUCGAAAGCGUGGGGAUCAAACAGG